This 97-nucleotide transfer RNA is filed under the name Actinoplanes teichomyceticus. RNAcentral describes it as "tRNA-Gly". Lineage: Bacteria; Bacillati; Actinomycetota; Actinomycetes; Micromonosporales; Micromonosporaceae. The record is from RNAcentral.
GGCAGCGCCUCGUGGGGCUGGGCGGUCACCGGCGCCUGCCGUGAGCUGCGCGAAUCCGGCCGGGACGAGGUGUUGUUCGACACCACCGAGCUGCUGC